AAUUCCUACGGGGGGCAGCAGUGAGGGAUAUUGGUCAGUGGGGGAAACCCUGAACCAGCAACGCCGCGUGAGGGAAGACGGUUUUCGGAUUGUAAACCUCUGUCCUCUGUGAAGAUAAUGACGGUAGCAGAGGAGGAAGCUCCGGCUAACGAAAUGCCAGCAGCCGAGGUAAUACGUAGGGAGCAAGCGUUGUCCGGAUUUACUGGGUGUAAAGGGUGCGUAGGCGGCUUUAUAAGUCAGAAGUGAAAUCCAUGGGCUUAACCCAUGAACGGCUUUUGAAACUGUAGAGCU
RNAcentral lists this ribosomal RNA (291 nucleotides) under uncultured bacterium. RNAcentral's name for it is "partial 16S ribosomal RNA". It matches the Rfam family "Bacterial small subunit ribosomal RNA", at positions 334 to 642 of the family's 1533-position model. The record is from RNAcentral.